This 371-nucleotide ribosomal RNA is filed under the name uncultured bacterium. RNAcentral's name for it is "bacterial SSU rRNA". It matches the Rfam family "Bacterial small subunit ribosomal RNA", at positions 527 to 896 of the family's 1533-position model. The record is from RNAcentral.
GUAGGUGGCAAGCGUUGUCCGGAAUUAUUGGGCGUAAAGCGCGCGCAGGCGGUUCCUUAAGUCUGAUGUGAAAGCCACCGGCUCAACCGGGGAGGGUCAUUGGAAACUGGGGAACUUGAGUGCAGAAGAGGAGAGCGGAAUUCCACGUGUAGCGGUGAAAUGCGUAGAGAUGUGGAGGAACACCAGUGGCGAAGGCGGCUCUCUGGUCUGUAACUGACGCUGAGGCGCGAAAGCGUGGGGAGCGAACAGGAUUAGAUACCCUGGUAGUCCACGCCGUAAACGAUGAGUGCUAAGUGUUAGAGGGUUUCCGCCCUUUAGUGCUGCAGCAAACGCAUUAAGCACUCCGCCUGGGGAGUACGGCCGCAAGGCUG